CAAGAGACCAAAAUAACACAGAAUUUAAGAACUAUAGGUCACCGUACGGCCUUCAACAAUGAGCAAAGCCCAUACCGCAUAGUCAGCUAUAAAAGGCCCCGAUAUGACAAUGUAAAACAAUUCAAACGAGAAAACUAACGGCCUUAUUUAUAUAAAACAAAAUGAACGAAAAACAAAUAUGUAACACAUAAACAAACGACAACCAC
Molecule: long non-coding RNA, 206 nt
Filed under: Mytilus galloprovincialis (Mediterranean mussel)
Lineage: Eukaryota; Metazoa; Mollusca; Bivalvia; Mytilida; Mytilidae
Source: RNAcentral